RNAcentral lists this ribosomal RNA (362 nucleotides) under Proteus mirabilis. RNAcentral describes it as "partial 23S ribosomal RNA". It matches the Rfam family "Bacterial large subunit ribosomal RNA", at positions 1 to 400 of the family's 2925-position model. Lineage: Bacteria; Pseudomonadati; Pseudomonadota; Gammaproteobacteria; Enterobacterales; Morganellaceae. The record is from RNAcentral.
GGUUAAGCGAAUAAGCGUACACGGUGGAUGCCUAGGCAAUCAGAGGCGAUGAAGGACGUGCUAAUCUGCGAAAAGCGUCGGUAAGGUGAUAUGAACCGUUAUACCCGACGAUAUCCGAAUGGGGAAACCCAGUAUCCAAUGGAUACUAUCAUUAACUGAAUCCAUAGGUUAAUGAGGCGAACCGGGAGAACUGAAACAUCUCAGUACCCCGAGGAAAAGAAAUCAACCGAGAUUCCCCUAGUAGCGGCGAGCGAACGGGGAGCAGCCCAGAGUCUUAAUCAAUAGCAGUGUCAGGAGAACGGUCUGGAAAGUCCGGCAGUAAAGGGUGAUAGCCCCGUAUCUGAAGAUGCUGUUAUUGUGAA